AAUCUGUCGGGGAUCGUCAGCGGAAUAUAGGUUAACCACACAUGAAACUCAAACAGAAAAGAUCCCAACAGGGAAAAGGUUUAUAGUAACAUCAUAAUAAGGCAUUUGUGAUUAUCUUUAAGGAAUAUCAGAGGCACAGAUAUUAUACAUCUCUUUGAAGAUCCAAAAAGCCUAUAGAAGUAUAUCUGUACGAGCAACUCUUUCGGAGGAGUCGUUUUCCAUGUCGUUUAUUGUAGUUGCUGACAGGUAUGCAAUAUAUUACUAUCAAGUAUUACCCUCUGCGAAAAAAAA
Salvia hispanica is the source of this 291-nucleotide non-coding RNA. Lineage: Eukaryota; Viridiplantae; Streptophyta; Magnoliopsida; Lamiales; Lamiaceae. The record is from RefSeq and is a predicted model, not a curated record.